This 446-nucleotide ribosomal RNA is filed under the name uncultured bacterium. RNAcentral's name for it is "bacterial SSU rRNA". It matches the Rfam family "Bacterial small subunit ribosomal RNA", at positions 335 to 775 of the family's 1533-position model. The record is from RNAcentral.
ACUCCUACGGGAGGCAGCAGUAGGGAAUCUUCCGCAAUGGACGAAGUCUGACGGAGCAACGCCGCGUGAGUGAUGAAGGUUUCGGAUCGUAAACUCUGUUGUUAGGGAAGAACAAGUACCGUUCGAAUAGGGCGGUACCUUGACGGUACCUAACCAGAAAGCCACGGCUAACUACGUGCCAGCAGCCGCGGUAAUACGUAGGUGGCAAGCGUUGUCCGGAAUUAUUGGGCGUAAAGCGCGCGCAGGUGGUUUCUUAAGUCUGAUGUGAAAGCCCGCCGUCACAGGGCCGGAGGUAUGGGAAACUGGGAGAACUUGAGUGCAGAAGAGGAAAGUGGAAUUCCAAGUGUAGCGGUGAAAUGCGUAGAGAUUUGGAGGAACACCAGUGGCGAAGGCGACUUUCUGGUCUGUAACUGACACUGAGGCGCGAAAGCGUGGGGAGCGAACAG